ACCCUACCAAAGUCACCUUAGCCAAAACACCAACCGCCCCUCCUCCUACCGUAGCCAAGAAGCCCAAACAUCACAAAACCAAAACAUCCAACAACCCUAUCUCUACCAAACACCCCAACAACCUUUCCAACCUUUCCUCGACACCUUAGCCAAAACACCAACCGCCCCUCCUCCUACCGUAGCCAAGAAGCCCAAACAUCACAAAACCAAAACAUCCAACAACCCUAUCUCUACCAAACACCCCAACAACCUUUCCAACCUUUCCUCGAC
This 270-nucleotide long non-coding RNA is filed under the name Lathyrus oleraceus (garden pea). Its description in RNAcentral is "Pisum sativum (pea) long non-coding RNA (PSAT_LNC033071)". Lineage: Eukaryota; Viridiplantae; Streptophyta; Magnoliopsida; Fabales; Fabaceae. The record is from RNAcentral.